Molecule: transfer RNA, 73 nt
Filed under: Streptococcus suis
Lineage: Bacteria; Bacillati; Bacillota; Bacilli; Lactobacillales; Streptococcaceae
Also listed under: 2 other names
Description: tRNA-Asp
Rfam family: tRNA
About the family: Transfer RNA (tRNA) molecules are approximately 80 nucleotides in length.
Source: RNAcentral
GGUCCCGUAGUGUAGCGGUUAUCACGUCGCCCUGUCACGGCGAAGAUCGCGGGUUCGAUUCCCGUCGGGCCCG